Molecule: ribosomal RNA, 549 nt
Filed under: uncultured Glomus
Lineage: Eukaryota; Fungi; Glomeromycota; Glomeromycetes; Glomerales; Glomeraceae
Description: SSU rRNA
Rfam family: Eukaryotic small subunit ribosomal RNA
Source: RNAcentral
UUGGAGGGCAAGUCUGGUGCCAGCAGCCGCGGUAAUUCCAGCUCCAAUAGCGUAUAUUAAAGUUGUUGCAGUUAAAAAGCUCGUAGUUGAAUUUCGGGGUCAGCAGGUUGGUCGUGCCAAUGGUAUGCACUGGCCUUGCUGAUUCCUCCCUCUUGAUGAGCCGUAAUGUCAUUAAUUUGGUGUUGCGGGGAAUCAGGACUGUUACUUUGAAGAAAUUAGAGUGUUUAAAGCAGGCAAGCGCUUGAAUACAUUAGCAUGGAAUAAUGAAAUAGGACGUUUGAUCCUAUUUUGUUGGUUUCUAGGAUUGACGUAAUGAUUAAUAGGGAUAGUUGGGGGCAUUAGUAUUCAAUUGUCAGAGGUGAAAUUCUUGGAUUUAUUGAAGACUAACUACUGCGAAAGCAUUUGCCAAGGAUGUUUUCAUUAAUCAAGAACGAAAGUUAGGGGAUCGAAGACGAUCAGAUACCGUCGUAGUCUUAACCAUAAACUAUGCCGACUAGGGAUCGGAUGAUGUUAAUUUUUUAAUGACUCAUUCGGCACCUUACGGGAAAC